Long non-coding RNA from Xiphophorus maculatus (southern platyfish), 4298 nucleotides. RefSeq lists it as uncharacterized. The record is from RefSeq and is a predicted model, not a curated record. Lineage: Eukaryota; Metazoa; Chordata; Actinopteri; Cyprinodontiformes; Poeciliidae. The transcript is spliced from 4 exons.
GCAUUAAGAAUACGGAGGGUAUUUCCAUAUUAAUGACUCGGUUUCAGAGGAGGGGGCAUUCAUCAGUGCCGCUUGAAAAGUCAGUGUACCUGGACAAAACCUCCUCCCUGUUCCGCUAAAUUGCCCCGAAGCCGUUUUAGCAGCUCCUCAAACUUUCUCCAGCCUGAAUCCUGAUGUCGGUUUAUUGGCGGAGUGGAGCUGAAAACCUUCAAGUCAGACGACUUGAUUCCUCCAGGAGGAAGAAGAAGAAGAAGAAGAAGAAGAAAAAACGGUUUAUUUUUAAACGUACGUGGACAAACUGUCAGGGAUUAAAGACAAAACGCAGCAGGAAACGCACUCCAUCACAGCUCAGCCGUGAUUUGACGCCGCGAACGUGACGAGGAUGAGAAUGCAUUCCUCCUCAUCCCGCCACCUGGCUGAGGACACACACACACACACGCACACACACACACACACACACACACAAAAGAAAGACAGAAACAUGGCAGCUUUAAUAAGUCAGAUAACGCCACAUCAGCUGGCAUAUAGAGGUAUUAAAUUCCAAACAGUGAACGCUUUGCGCAUAAAUCCAGCAGCGAGGAGAUCCGGAGGAGUGAAGAGAUGCUGAACGUUAGAUUUAUUUCCACAUGGGGAGAUAAAGGUCUUAGUGGCUUUAUGAAGGGACGUUGUCUUGGCUGACUGUCGGGAUUCUUCUGAUUAAAGUGUAGCCAAGAAAGGUCAAAGGCCACAGCAAGACAGAAAAAUGGAAAACAGUGUGGCUGAGAGGAAUUCAUUUAGCAACAUUACGACCACGAAGUUCAAUGUAUUACGCUGAAACCUUAAAUGAUAGACCUACACAAAUUAGUGCAUCACUGUGUAAUGGAAGGGAAACAUUUAGUUAAUUAUUACUAUUGUUAUUAUUAUUUAAAACUAAAAGUCUGAACUGUGUGGCCUGCCUUAGAAGCCAAAUUUAAAGGCCCUCUUGGUGAAGCAUAGUGAUGCAGCCAUGUUUCUUUUUUCUAAUUCAAGAAGACAAACAAGUUAGAUUUCUACAUACUCUAAAGUGUAGUAGCCAUUUUAUUUGUUCCUUUUACACCCAGGAAGAGGCAUCAGAUGCAUUCUUUCUUCUUUUUGUAUGGCUCUAAAUAAAGCAAUAAACUAAACUUCAGUCUUCACUCUUCCUCCAGACUCUGGGCCCUUGACUUCCAAAUGAAAUGCAGAAUUUGCUUUAAUAUAAAAAGAGGAAAUUUUAACCACUGAACAACAAUCCAGCUGCUUUUCUCCUUAUCCCAAGGCUACAAGCUUCUGACAUCGUUUCCAGUUCAGGAGCGACUCGAUACAAGAAUUGACAUUUGUAGCAUUUAUUCUGCAUGCCUUCCACUCACCUGUCUACAAAUAUGUUUGAUGAACUCUAUGAACAUCCAGCUUCUAUAGCAGGUUGGUACUAAAAGUUUUAGUACCAAACCUUUCACCCUUGGUACUAAAACUGGCUAAUUUAAACAGCAAAAAUUAGUUUAUAGUUUGUUAUUUCAGUGUAGUCUGCUCAAUAAUAAACAUUUAUUUAAUAAUGGAUUAUACGAAUCUUUAAAGAUCCAAAAUAUAACGUGCCUUAUUAAAAUAGAAAAGAUAAUUGCCACAUUUUUGGGGGGUCAUCAGUCGUUUUCUAUUUUGUUGGCCAAAUCUUUAAACUUUCUUGGACUGCGGUUCAAAUUUUCUGAGACAAUUUGGGUUUUUCAUGAUCUUUAAGUCAUAAUCAUCAAAAUGAUAAGAAAUGAAAGGUAUUGAAACAUUUCAUCAUAUGUGCUGUAAUUAUGCGUGGUAUGAUUUUGUGUGACAAAAGCUGUUGAACCUUUAGACAAUAUUACAUUUGGAAAUGCACCUGUAGACUGAAAUAUUACAGUUUGGUCUAAUCCAACUUCGACAUGCUCCCUUCAUGGCAUGUAGGAAACUUCUAACUGGGUUCAUUGGGUUCUCAACAGUCCCUUUCUUCUCGCCACUCUUGCAUUCAGGACACAUUUGUGGCGUCUCCGUAACAGCCUCAGGACGAGGCACAAGGGUGUGGACCUUUACUGGACUGUGGCAAUCAGGUUGAGAGAAGAUAAGGAGAAAAAUAAAAAAAAACAACCUCUCUGGUCCACCCCAGAAGUCAUCACGGUAUGCUAAUGAGCUGAGGGGGGCAACCUUUUAAGUGCUGGAGCCCAACAGACUGAGCAGUUAGGAGACAUGGACCAGACGUGAACACUUGUAAUGAAGACGUCUAAUGACAAGGUGCAAACAGAUUCCAGACGAGCUGCUUGGCUGUUCUGUCUUGUGCCCUGGACAGGAUAUCAUCUUAUACUGUAAGUUUUUUAAAGAGACACUACAGUAUAGAUGAUGUACUAUCCAGGGUAUCAUUCCACCUCCGCCGGCGCCGGAGGAGACUCGGACUGAAACGUCAGGGGGCCGAACACACAGCCGAGGAGGGCAGUUAAACCGUUACCAUUACUGAGUUUUAGUAAUGGUAAGGGUUCUACGGCCUUCGCUCAAUGACGACGAAGGAAAGGACGAGCUGGAGCAUUGUCACACUUAAACCAAUAAUGUCAAAUAAAAAUGGUGGUUGUCUCCCUUACAUGAGUGCCUCUUUUAUUUGUAGAAUCUGCUCUUAAUGGUUUUGUGUUUCUGUAGGUUUCAAAAAUUCAAAUUUAAGACUUUGUAACUGUUUAAGAUACUUUUUAAGACAGUUAUGAGUGAAAUGUAUGAAUAUUGUCCAAACGUCAGUACAUUUUCACCCACCCCAUGAUAAGUAUUGUAUAAAACUAUUCAACACAUGCUAGCCAGAUAGCAAGUGUUGGGCAUAUUAGUGCUAAUUACCGGCAGGUUCAACCGAAUCGCAAUGAAGAGUGCGACUCAAGCUUUUGCCUGACAGAAAAGUUCAGCAAGAAAAAAACAAAUAUACGGGGUUAAAUAGACGUGGCGAAACAACAUUUUAAUUUACCAUUAUGAUUAACUUAUCUAAGGUUAAUUUACUUUUUUUUUUUUUAAAAAAUUCAGUUAUAUGACUUGUAGACUUUUUAAGAAUGCGUGGACAUCCUGCAUUAGAUCUAAAUUAAUUUUCUGGACUGAGCUGGAGUUAGCUUGUCUAAGGCAGUGGUUCUCAAAUGGGGGUACGCGUACCCCUGGGGGUACGUGGAGGUACUGCAGGGGGUAAAAAAUCAGUAGGCUCCUCAUAAUAAGUCUUGGGAAAAAUUAUUUUGUAAAAAGUUCGAUAAAAUAUAAAUGUGUGUUCAUGCACUGAAUUUUAUAUUCAGUAUUUACAGGGUAUUUACAGCACUGUACCUCUGUUUUAUUCCAAAAAUGUUUUGCCCGUGUCAGGGGGUACUUGACUAAAAAUAUAUUUUUAAGGGGGUACAUCACUGAAAAAAGUUUGAGAACCACUGGUCUAAGGCAGCGAUUUUUUGCUCUGUCAAAUCAAGAGGGGAGGUAGCAGCUGUUCAGAGAACAAGGAGCGCUUCGGGGACUGACGGCUUCAGUCUGUGAGGAAACUAUCACCCCCCUUCCCUGACAUCAGGACACUUACUAACUGGUUAUUCAUCAAGAUGCCCUGAACUGCUGAGUUAACCCACAGGCAGCGGGAAUGAAUCUAAUCCCCAUUAUCUGACCCACUUUAGCAUCAGGUUAGUGCUCCACUUUCCCCAUCCAUUAGGGAGACAAUGUAGCCCCUCGGAGGCAGAGACGGGCUUUAUAGGAGCCAAAAGAACGGAGCGAGGGUUAAAAACACGGAGGAGAAGAAGAAGAAGAAAAAGAGGGAAAGUGAUGGUCGCAGAGAUGGAUGGCUACACUUCAAAGGGCAGCAGAGACGGCUAAAGUGAUGAAGGGAGUGGAGGGAACUGGGUUGGACGGUACAUCAGGGACAUGUGAGUGAACAUGACGGUGCAGCUCUCGCCUUCGGUUUAUCUACAGCGCAGCGUUUGUGCCCGCCGAGGGAAGAAAAAGCCCUGAGAGCCAAAGAUAAAAACGUCGGCCUUUUCACAGCCUGCCAAACCCGCUCAGCCAUGAAGGAGCUGUCAAAGUCGUGUCAAAACAUCCAUUUGAUGAGCCGCCGUGUCAUGUUUGCUACCAAAAAGCAGAGAUCUUCAGCCUGACGUCCCUCAGGUAGACCCGGCUGAGGUCCUCCCCCGCCUCCCGGGCGAUGCGCGCCACCGUCUGGCCGGCGGCGCCGAUCACCAUGGUCUGCAGACACGAGAAGCGACGCAACAGGCCACAGUGCUGUGACGGCUCUCCUCACCUGGGUCAUGGAGUAGGGCACUUCCUGUGGCAGAUACUCCAGCAGCUUUUCCCUG